Molecule: ribosomal RNA, 349 nt
Filed under: uncultured bacterium
Lineage: Bacteria
Description: bacterial SSU rRNA
Rfam family: Bacterial small subunit ribosomal RNA
Source: RNAcentral
AGAGUUUGAUCAUGGCUCAGGAUGAACGCUAGCUACAGGCUUAACACAUGCAAGUCGAGGGGCAGCAUGUUGGUUGCUUGCAACCAAUGAUGGCGACCGGCGCACGGGUGAGUAACGCGUAUCCAACCUACCCUUGUCCAUCGGAUAACCCGUCGAAAGGCGGCCUAACACGAUAUGCGGUUCUCAGCAGGCGUCUAACGAGAACGAAAUGUGAAGGAGAAGGAUGGGGAUGCGUCUGAUUAGCUUGUUGGGCGGGUAACGGCCACCAAGGCGACGAUCAGUAGGGGUUCUGAGAGGAAGGUCCCCCACAUUGGAACUGAGACACGGUCCAAACUCCGUACGGGAGGCA